GAAUUGAAACUUCCCAUUGGCUGAAAGUGUAGGUGUGUCGCUGUCAGAUGCGGAAGUAGGGCGGGCUUUGGCGCAGCGCCUUUGCCGUCGUCACCUCCGGCGGGCGGGAGCCUCAGCGGACGUCUCUGGCUUUUUGUACGGAUGUGCUGGUCCCCUUUUUUUUGACAGCAGGCGGGCAGGCAGGCAGGCAGGCAGGGGGGAAACUAGGAGGACGUAGGCGGGCUCUGCUGCUAUCUCCCUGCGGCUCUGUCUCCCUUAUUGAGCCGUUUCUCGUCCACAGACACCCCGGCGACAUGCUGGUUCCGGUUGGCGUUUCCUCCUUUGAGCCUGAGGAGUGAGCUCGCGGGCCGACCCUGCGCCACUCCCUCACGACGCGGCCAUGGUCGACGUUGAGAGUCACUACCGUCCGCCUUCGCCCCUGGAGGACUCCAUGCUGGGAAGCCCGCUAUGCGCCGAUGACGACUUCAUUGGCGGCAUGGAGGAGCUCCACGACAUCUCGCAGUCCAUCGACAGCAGUACCCUCAGCUCCUACGACGCCCCCGAGUACCACUCGUCCAGCAACGGCUCAGACGGCUCCACCGUCUUUGGUGAGGAAUGUAUUCAUGGUCCAUCCACUCUAUUUCUUAUACGCAUGCGGCUCUUGAGCCGCGGGUUGCCGACCCCCGCACUCUAACCCUUCCACUUCCAUCACUUCUAACUUCAUUUUGCACUUGAGACGCUCUUCCAAAUUUUCCACGGU
This is a long non-coding RNA of Hippocampus comes (tiger tail seahorse), 739 nucleotides long. RefSeq lists it as uncharacterized. NCBI's taxonomy places the organism in Eukaryota, Metazoa, Chordata, Actinopteri, Syngnathiformes, Syngnathidae. The transcript has 2 exons. The record is from RefSeq and is a predicted model, not a curated record.